Molecule: ribosomal RNA, 322 nt
Filed under: uncultured eukaryote
Lineage: Eukaryota
Description: partial 18S ribosomal RNA
Rfam family: Eukaryotic small subunit ribosomal RNA
Source: RNAcentral
CCCUUAGAUGUUCUGGGCCGCACGCGUGCUACACUGAGUGGAUCAGCGGGUCAGGUUGCGCGAAAGCGUUUCCUAAUCUUUAAAUCCGCUCGUGAUGGGGAUUGACGGUUGCAAUUUUCUGUCAUGAACGAGGAAUACCUUGUAAGCGCGGGUCAUCAUCCCGCGCUGAAUACGUCCCUGCCCUUUGUACAUACCGCCCGUCGCUCCUACCGAUUGAGUGGUCCGGUGAGGCUUUGGGAUCUGAGCGGAAAGAGCGUUUCGCUGUUUCUGCUCGGAAAACUCAGUCGAACCUUAUCAUUUAGAGGAAGGAGAAGUCGUAACA